This 497-nucleotide ribosomal RNA is filed under the name uncultured bacterium. RNAcentral describes it as "partial 16S ribosomal RNA". It matches the Rfam family "Bacterial small subunit ribosomal RNA", at positions 28 to 507 of the family's 1533-position model. The record is from RNAcentral.
GAUGAACGCUGGCGGCGUGCCUAAUACAUGCAAGUCGAGCGAACAGACGAGGAGCUUGCUCCUCUGACGUUAGCGGCGGACGGGUGAGUAACACGUGGAUAACCUACCUAUAAGACUGGGAUAACUUCGGGAAACCGGAGCUAAUACCGGAUAAUAUAUUGAACCGCAUGGUUCAAUAGUGAAAGACGGUUUUGCUGUCACUUAUAGAUGGAUCCGCGCCGCAUUAGCUAGUUGGUAAGGUAACGGCUUACCAAGGCAACGAUGCGUAGCCGACCUGAGAGGGGGAUCGGCCACACUGGAACUGAGACACGGUCCAUGCUCCUACGGGAGGCAGCAGUAUGGAAUCUUCCGCAAUGGGCGAAAGCCUGACGGAGCAACGCCGCGUGAGUGAUGAAGGUCUUCGGAUCGUAAAACUCUGUUAUUAGGGAAGAACAAAUGUGUAAGUAACUAUGCACGUCUUGACGGUACCUAAUCAGAAAGCCACGGCUAACUACGUG